This 246-nucleotide ribosomal RNA is filed under the name uncultured Actinomycetales bacterium. RNAcentral describes it as "partial 16S ribosomal RNA". It matches the Rfam family "Bacterial small subunit ribosomal RNA", at positions 796 to 1041 of the family's 1533-position model. Lineage: Bacteria; Bacillati; Actinomycetota; Actinomycetes; Actinomycetales. The record is from RNAcentral.
CACGCCGUAAACGGUGGGCGCUAGGUGUGGGGAGCAUUCCACGUUCUCCGCGCCGCAGCUAACGCAUUAAGCGCCCCGCCUGGGGAGUACGGCCGCAAGGCUAAAACUCAAAGGAAUUGACGGGGGCCCGCACAAGCGGCGGAGCAUGCGGCUUAAUUCGAUGCAACGCGAAGAACCUUACCUAGGCUUGACAGUUGGGGAAAUCUGGCAGAGAUGUCAGGUCCGCAAGGGCCUCAAAACAGGUGG